UCCUCCCUCUGUCGGCGUGCUUAACACAUGCAAGUCGUACGGUAAGGCCCUUUCGGGGGUACACGAGUGGCGAACGGGUGAGUAACACGUGAGUAACCUGCCCACAACUUUGGGAUAACGCUAGGAAACUGGUGCUAAUACUGGAUAUGUGCUCCUGCUGCAUGGUGGGGGUUGGAAAGCUCCGGCGGUUGUGGAUGGACUCGCGGCCUAUCAGCUUGUUGGUGGGGUAGUGGCCUACCAAGGCGGCGACGGGUAGCCGGCCUGAGAGGGUGACCGGCCACAUUGGGACUGAGAGACGGCCCAGACUCCUACGGGAGGCAGCAGUGGGGAAUAUUGCACAAGGGGCGCAAGCCUGAUGCAGCAACGCCGCGGGCGGGAGGACGGCCUUCGGGUUGUAAACCGCUUUCAGCAGGGACGAAGCUUUUUGUGACGGUACCUGCAGAAGAAGCACCGGCUAACUACGUG
This 465-nucleotide ribosomal RNA is filed under the name uncultured bacterium. RNAcentral describes it as "partial 16S ribosomal RNA". It matches the Rfam family "Bacterial small subunit ribosomal RNA", at positions 36 to 507 of the family's 1533-position model. The record is from RNAcentral.